UAGGGAAUCUUCGGCAAUGGGGGGAACCCUGACCGAGCAACGCCGCGUGAGUGAAGAAGGUUUUCGGAUCGUAAAGCUCUGUUGUUAAGGAAGAACGAGUGUGAGAAUGGAAAGUUCAUGCUGUGACGGUACUUAACCAGAAAGGGACGGCUAACUACGUGCCAGCAGCCGCGGUAAUACGUAGGUCCCGAGCGUUGUCCGGAAUCAUUGGGCGUAAAGGGUACGUAGGCGGAUAAGCAAGUUAGAAGUGAAAUCCUAUAGCUCAACUAUAGUAAGCUUUUAAAACUGCUCAUCUUGAGGUAUGGAAGGGAAAGUGGAAUUCCUAUUGUAGCGGUGAAAUGCGCAGAUAUUAGGAGGAAUACCGGUGGCGAAGGCGACUUUCUGGCCAUAAACUGACGCUGAGGUACGAAAGCGUGGGUAGCAAACAGG
This 429-nucleotide ribosomal RNA is filed under the name Verrucomicrobiota bacterium. RNAcentral's name for it is "Verrucomicrobia bacterium partial 16S ribosomal RNA". It matches the Rfam family "Bacterial small subunit ribosomal RNA", at positions 355 to 776 of the family's 1533-position model. The record is from RNAcentral. Lineage: Bacteria; Pseudomonadati; Verrucomicrobiota.